Molecule: ribosomal RNA, 301 nt
Filed under: uncultured bacterium
Lineage: Bacteria
Description: partial 16S ribosomal RNA
Rfam family: Bacterial small subunit ribosomal RNA
Source: RNAcentral
CAGUCGCCGCGGGAAUACGUAGGGUGCGAGCGUUAAUCGGAAUUACUGGGCGUAAAGCGUGCGCAGGCGGUUGUGUAAGACAGGUGUGAAAUCCCCGGGCUUAACCUGGGAACUGCGCUUGUGACUGCACAGCUAGAGUAUGGCAGAGGGGAGUGGAAUUCCACGUGUAGCAGUGAAAUGCGUAGAGAUGUGGAGGAACACCGAUGGCGAAGGCAGCCCCCUGGGCCAAUACUGACGCUCAUGCACGAAAGCGUGGGGAGCAAACAGGAUUAGAUACCCCCGUAGUCCCUGUCUCUUAUAC